UUCGUAGGCGGUGCGGCAAGUCGGGAGUGAAAUCUCUGGGCUUAACUCAGAGGCUGCUUCCGAAACUGCUGUGCUUGAGUGUGGGAGAGGCGCGUGGAAUUGCAGGUGUAGCGGUGAAAUGCGUAGAUAUCUGCAGGAACACCCGUGGCGAAAGCGGCGCGCUGGACCACAACUGACGCUGAGGAACGAAAGCUAGGGGAGCAAACAGGAUUAGAUACCCUGGUAGUCCUAGCCCUAAACGAUCAGGACUUGGGGUGCCGCCCGUUCGGGCGUCGUCCCGGAGCUAACGCGUUAAGUCCUGCACCUGGGGAGUACGGUCGCAAGACUGAA
This 330-nucleotide ribosomal RNA is filed under the name uncultured bacterium. Its description in RNAcentral is "bacterial SSU rRNA". It matches the Rfam family "Bacterial small subunit ribosomal RNA", at positions 568 to 898 of the family's 1533-position model. The record is from RNAcentral.